This 466-nucleotide ribosomal RNA is filed under the name uncultured bacterium. RNAcentral describes it as "partial 16S ribosomal RNA". It matches the Rfam family "Bacterial small subunit ribosomal RNA", at positions 28 to 506 of the family's 1533-position model. The record is from RNAcentral.
GAUGAACGCUGGCGGCGCGCCUAACACAUGCAAGUCGAACGAUUAAAGCACCUUCGGGUGUGUAUAAAGUGGCGAACGGCUGAGUAACACGUGGGCAACCUGCCCCUCUCAUUGGGAUAGCCACGGGAAACCGUGGAUAAUACCGAAUACUUCGGGACUUCCGCAUGGAAGACUCGAGAAAGCUCCGGCGGAGAGGGAUGGGCCCGCGGCCUGUUAGCUUGUUGGUGGGGUAAUGGCCUACCAAGGCAAUGAUGGGUAGCUGGGUUGAGAGACCGACCAGCCAGAUUGGGACUGAGAAACGGCCCAGACUCCUACGGGAGGCAGCAGUGGGGAAUCGUGCACACUGGGCGAAAGCCUGAUGCAGCGACGCCGCGUGCGGGAUGAAGGCCUUCGGGUUGUAAACCGCUUUCAGCAGGGACGAGGCGAAAGUGACGGUACCUGCAGAAGAAGCCCCGGCUAACUACGU